Molecule: ribosomal RNA, 473 nt
Filed under: uncultured bacterium
Lineage: Bacteria
Description: bacterial SSU rRNA
Rfam family: Bacterial small subunit ribosomal RNA
Source: RNAcentral
CACUGUCACUCCUACGGGAGGCAGCAGUGGGGAAUAUUGCACAAUGGGCGCAAGCCUGAUGCAGCCAUGCCGCGUGUGUGAAGAAGGCCUUCGGGUUGUAAAGCACUUUCAGUUGUGAGGAAGGUGGUGUCGUUAAUAGCGGCAUCAUUUGACGUUAGCAACAGAAGAAGCACCGGCUAACUCCGUGCCAGCAGCCGCGGUAAUACGGAGGGUGCGAGCGUUAAUCGGAAUUACUGGGCGUAAAGCGCAUGCAGGUGGUUUGUUAAGUCAGAUGUGAAAGCCCCGGGGCUCAACCUCGGAACUGCAUUUGAAACUGGCAGACUAGAGUACUGUAGAGGGGGUAGAAUUUCAGGUGUAGCGGUGAAAUGCGUAGAGAUCUGAAGGAAUACCGGUGGCGAAGGCGGCCCCCUGGACAGAUACUGACACUCAGAUGCGAAAGCGUGGGGAGCAAACAGGAUUAGAUACCCUGGUAG